AAUAACUUAGCAAGGAAAAAUUGGUUAAUWUCCAGCUGGAUCAGUAUCCUGAGCCUGUUUUUCGCAUAGCCCUAUAAUCAUCUGUGCUGGUAAAACUGAAGUAUAGUGCAGGGACAAGCAACUGUGAGAGGACUCUGCUUGAGAAAGGACUUCCACCAAAAAUCUCCAUCGAACCGCAGCCGAGUCCUCGGCUCCGCCUAGCCUGAACCUCUGCAUAAUGCAAGACAGUUACAACUGUAAUUGCCUUAUGUUAGGAUCUCUUCCUUACAGAUACGAGACUUAGAAGAAAACAACAAAACUAACGCUGGGACCAUAAAAUAAUACAAAUSAAAACUUUCAUCCCUGAGAUGUUGCCUCACUUUAUCAAAAUGACAGCAUGUUUUCAGUGAACCCCAGCUUUAUCCAGGAAUCCUACCUCAAUCAAUGCACUGGACGCAACACUCUCCUCUGAUAUGUUUUCACCUUGUAUGAAAUACUGUAAAAUGAAUGUAAGUUGAACAAAAUGGAAAAUGAAAGAAGUGUAAAAUCAGGUAAUAUGAGCUCAUUGAUCUAGCAGCUUUGUAGCCUGACACUUUGGAUAGUCACAGGUGGGUUAUGAAUUUAUAGAUGCAAUGACUGCAUAUACAGAAAAGUGUCACCAGGAGAAACUGUGAUCAACCCACCAUAGGGUAUCUUCAAAUCUAAUUGUAAAGACUUCAUCUCAUCGAAGUACGUUUAAAUUCUCCCAACAAAGA
Molecule: long non-coding RNA, 734 nt
Filed under: Dromaius novaehollandiae (emu)
Lineage: Eukaryota; Metazoa; Chordata; Aves; Casuariiformes; Dromaiidae
Description: lncRNA (ENSDNVG00000006486.1)
Source: RNAcentral